GACGAACGCUGGCGGCGUGCUUAACACAUGCAAGUCGAACGGAAAGGCCCUGCUCUUGUGGGGUUCUCGAGUGGCGAACGGGUGAGUGAAACGUGAGUAUCCUGCCCUUGACUUUGGGAUAACAUCAGGAAACUGGGGCUAAUACCGGAUAGGAGCUCCUGCUGCGUGGUGGUGGUUGGAGAGUUUCGGCGGUUGGGGAUGGACUCGCGGCUUAUCAGCUGGUUGGUGGGGUAGUGGCGUACCAAGGCUUUGACGGGUAGCCGGCCUGAGAGGGUGACCGGCCACAUGGGGACUGAGAUACGGCGCAGACUGCUACGGGAGGCAACAGGGGGGAAUCUGGCACAAUGGGCGGAAGCCUGAUGUAGCAACGCCGCGUGCGGGAUGACGGCUUUCGGGUUGUAAACAGCUUUCGCCUGUGACGAAGCGUGAGUGACGGUAAUGGGUAAAGAAGCACCGGCUAACUACGUG
This 468-nucleotide ribosomal RNA is filed under the name uncultured bacterium. Its description in RNAcentral is "partial 16S ribosomal RNA". It matches the Rfam family "Bacterial small subunit ribosomal RNA", at positions 28 to 507 of the family's 1533-position model. The record is from RNAcentral.